GCCUGCGCGGUAGUGGGACCCGACCCUGUCUCCAGUGGGCGUCUUGGGCCCCGGCUCUAUUCUGGGCUGCGGGCCUGGGAAGGGCUCGCCGGGUGCCAAAUGAGCUGUCCUAACUCUGCGGGGCUGCAGCUUCCUGCAUGAUGCUGGGGAGCUUGGCGCCUGACCCAGGAUCUAGAAGGCACUCUGGGCAGGCCGCGCUCCGCCCACGAAGGUCUGGCUUACCACACGCUCCUCCCCAUUCCCAGUGAGCCGCUUUUUGCAGCACCAGGCGAACACUUACACCAGUGCUUUGUAAAGGAAUCUUAUUGUCCACCCCGUGUCUUGGCAAAAGAACAGUGAUCACACAGAUUCCUACUUGGGCUCUUUCCUUUAAUCUUCGGAGGCUGAGUUUGCCCAACUCAGGUUUAACCACCAAGGACUCUGAGAGCUGGCAGGUCUGAGUAACCCUGGUAACAAUUCUCUUCACCUUAUCAAAACCUGAGCUAAAACCAAUGCAUCAGCUGAUGAUGACAGCAGAGAGUGGCAGGGCUGAGGACCCAAAGUCAUUUCCCAGGCUGGCGGAGAGUGAGUAAAUGAGAUUCUAAAACUAAACAAGGGAGGUCAGAGACUCUUUCCAACCUUACCUGAUGGCUUCUGGCCAAAGCAAGGAAGUGUCUUGGAAGGUGUUGGUUGGUGAUGGUGCGAA
RNAcentral lists this long non-coding RNA (685 nucleotides) under Homo sapiens (human). Its description in RNAcentral is "non-protein coding TP53TG1:9". The record is from RNAcentral. Lineage: Eukaryota; Metazoa; Chordata; Mammalia; Primates; Hominidae.